Molecule: ribosomal RNA, 236 nt
Filed under: Shigella dysenteriae
Lineage: Bacteria; Pseudomonadati; Pseudomonadota; Gammaproteobacteria; Enterobacterales; Enterobacteriaceae
Description: partial 16S ribosomal RNA
Rfam family: Bacterial small subunit ribosomal RNA
Source: RNAcentral
AAAUUGAAGAGUUUGAUCAUGGCUCAGAUUGAACGCUGGCGGCAGGCCUAACACAUGCAAGUCGAACGGUAACAGGAAACAGCUUGCUGUUUCGCUGACGAGUGGCGGACGGGUGAGUAAUGUCUGGGAAACUGCCUGAUGGAGGGGGAUAACUACUGGAAACGGUAGCUAAUACCGCAUAAUGUCGCAAGACCAAAGAGGGGGACCUUAGGGCCUCUUGCCAUCGGAUGUGCCCA